RNAcentral lists this ribosomal RNA (254 nucleotides) under uncultured bacterium. Its description in RNAcentral is "partial 16S ribosomal RNA". It matches the Rfam family "Bacterial small subunit ribosomal RNA", at positions 524 to 776 of the family's 1533-position model. The record is from RNAcentral.
UACGUAGGGUGCAAGCGUUAAUCGGAAUUACUGGGCGUAAAGCGUGCGCAGGCGGUUAUGCAAGACAGAUGUGAAAUCCCCGGGCUCAACCUGGGAACUGCAUUUGUGACUGCAUAGCUAGAGUACGGUAGAGGGGGAUGGAAUUCCGCGUGUAGCAGUGAAAUGCGUAGAUAUGCGGAGGAACACCGAUGGCGAAGGCAAUCCCCUGGACCUGUACUGACGCUCAUGCACGAAAGGCGUGGGGAGUAAACAGG